Molecule: long non-coding RNA, 805 nt
Organism: Daphnia carinata
Lineage: Eukaryota; Metazoa; Arthropoda; Branchiopoda; Diplostraca; Daphniidae
Exons: 3
Source: RefSeq, a predicted model, not a curated record
CUCGAGAAAAUCAAGAGCAUCGCCGAAGUCCUUCAGAGCCUUCUCGUCCAGCUUCGUGGCCCCGCUGAACAUCACUGGAUACUAAACAAAAGAUACUCGUCACGAUUUGGACAAUUGAAAAGUGACAUGUCGUUUCACGACUUUAAUGCAAAAAAAAAAAAAAGAAACGGACGGCAUGCGGGUAUGAUGUUGGGGGUCCAGCUUUUCAUCAGAAGACAGCUAGAAGAUAUUCGCCCCCAAUUUACCGGUGGCAAACGGUGGAGCAGGUUCCAGUGCGAGUCGUGAUUCUGCUCUAGUUUCCUCGUUCACGUUCUGGGGGCUGGGCGUGGUAGAACCAGUGCCGCUUUUUUCCAAUCCAGUGGCGAUAUCCACGUUAUUGCUAGUUUGCGUUGUCAACUGAGGACAAACCAUGGUGCAGCGUUCCGUGUUUCUGGAAUUAACGUGAGCGAUAUACAACAUUCCACCGACUGUGGCCAGAAUUAUCAGAGUGUUCAACAAGGAUACCCAAGCUACUGGUUUCACUCUUUCGAUACACAUACGAGCCAUUAUCUUGGAGACUGUCAACCUACACCAUGGCCGGAAAUUUUAAAUUGUUGGAAAAUGGUGACAUCUGCAUCCGUUAAAUUCCGAAAUUUAUUAAACGCCAAUUUUUAGAAAUACUAUUCAACCACCAAGAAAAUCUAAUUAAAUGUGGAAUCAUCUUAAAAUUUGAAGAAACAAACAACAAUGGUGAACAACAGCAACCUGGCCAUCUGCUUACGCCCUCAGUCAGUAAGUUGAUGACCACAAUCUGCAAAGGUAGCUC